Small nucleolar RNA from Entelurus aequoreus (snake pipefish), 127 nucleotides. RefSeq annotates it as small nucleolar RNA SNORA15. NCBI's taxonomy places the organism in Eukaryota, Metazoa, Chordata, Actinopteri, Syngnathiformes, Syngnathidae. The transcript has a single exon. The record is from RefSeq and is a predicted model, not a curated record.
GCAUGGACGAAUUCUGACUUACUGGUGGAAGUAGUAAAGUCGGCCAGACACCAUGCUACAUUAAAUACACACUGACGUCAUGAUAUUGGCCAUCACGUGGUUUAUUGUGACGUCAGAGUGAAAACAU